ACGGGUGAGUAACACGUGGACAAGUCUGCCCCCGGCCCGGGAUAGCCCAGGGAAACCUGGAUUAAUACCGGAUGGAGACGGGACCCGCGAUGGCGGGACCCGGAAAGGCGCUGCGGCGCCGCCGGGGGGAUGAGUCUGCGUCCCAUUAGCUAGACGGCGGGGUAACGGCCCACCGUGGCGACGAUGGGUAGCCGGCCUGAGAGGGUGACGGCCACAUUGGAACUGAGACACGGUCCAGACUCCUACGGGAGGCGGCAGCUAAGAAUCUUCCGCAAUGGGCGAAAGCCUGACGGAGCGACGCCCGCGUGAACGAAGAAGGCCGUGAGGUUGUAAAGUUCUUUUCGGGAGGGGGAACAACCGUGGCAGGGAAUGGCCGCGGGAUGACGUGAAUCCCGGAAUAAGCCCCGGCUAACUACGUGCCAGCAGCAGC
This 430-nucleotide ribosomal RNA is filed under the name uncultured bacterium. RNAcentral's name for it is "bacterial SSU rRNA". It matches the Rfam family "Bacterial small subunit ribosomal RNA", at positions 102 to 518 of the family's 1533-position model. The record is from RNAcentral.